GCUUUCACUCCUACGGGAGGCAGCAGUGGGGAAUAUUGCACAAUGGGCGCAAGCCUGAUGCAGCCAUGCCGCGUGUAUGAAGAAGGCCUUCGGGUUGUAAAGUACUUUCAGCAGUGAGGAAGGUGGUGUCGUUAAUAGCGGCAUCAUUUGACGUUAGCUGCAGAAGAAGCACCGGCUAACUCCGUGCCAGCAGCCGCGGUAAUACGGAGGGUGCGAGCGUUAAUCGGAAUUACUGGGCGUAAAGCGCAUGCAGGUGGUUUGUUAAGUCAGAUGUGAAAGCCCGGGGCUCAACCUCGGAAUUGCAUUUGAAACUGGCAGACUAGAGUACUGUAGAGGGGGUAGAAUUUCAGGUGUAGCGGUGAAAUGCGUAGAGAUCUGAAGGAAUACCGGUGGCGAAGGCGGCCCCCUGGACAGAUACUGACACUCAGAUGCGAAAGCGUGGGGAGCAAACAGGAUUAGAUACCCUGGUAG
This 471-nucleotide ribosomal RNA is filed under the name uncultured bacterium. RNAcentral's name for it is "bacterial SSU rRNA". It matches the Rfam family "Bacterial small subunit ribosomal RNA", at positions 329 to 793 of the family's 1533-position model. The record is from RNAcentral.